This 481-nucleotide ribosomal RNA is filed under the name uncultured bacterium. Its description in RNAcentral is "bacterial SSU rRNA". It matches the Rfam family "Bacterial small subunit ribosomal RNA", at positions 329 to 802 of the family's 1533-position model. The record is from RNAcentral.
AUCGUAACUCCUACGGGAGGCAGCAGUGGGGAAUUUUGGUCAAUGGGCGAAAGCCUGAUCCAGCCAUGCCGCGUGCAGGAUGAAGGCCUUCGGGUUGUAAACUGCUUUUGUACGGAACGAAAAGACUCUGGUUAAUACCUGGGGUCCAUGACGGUACCGUAAGAAUAAGCACCGGCUAACUACGUGCCAGCAGCCGCGGUAAUACGUAGGGUGCAAGCGUUAAUCGGAAUUACUGGGCGUAAAGCGUGCGCAGGCGGUUAUAUAAGACAGAUGUGAAAUCCCCGGGCUCAACCUGGGAACUGCAUUUGUGACUGUAUAGCUAGAGUACGGUAGAGGGGGAUGGAAUUCCGCGUGUAGCAGUGAAAUGCGUAGAUAUGCGGAGGAACACCGAUGGCGAAGGCAAUCCCCUGGACCUGUACUGACGCUCAUGCACGAAAGCGUGGGGAACAAACAGGAUUAGAAACCCCUGUAGUCCUAGAGC